Molecule: ribosomal RNA, 1214 nt
Filed under: Meloderma dracophylli
Lineage: Eukaryota; Fungi; Ascomycota; Leotiomycetes; Rhytismatales; Rhytismataceae
Description: eukaryotic LSU rRNA
Rfam family: Eukaryotic large subunit ribosomal RNA
Source: RNAcentral
CAGGGAUUGCCUCAGUAACGGCGAGUGAAGCGGCAACAGCUCAAAUUUGAAAGCUGGCUCCUUACGGGGCCCGCGUUGUAAUUUGUAGAGGAUGUUUCGGGCGCGGCGCCGGUCUAAGUUCUUUGGAACGAGACGUCAUAGAGGGUGAGAAUCCCGUAUGUGACUGGUUGCCUGUGCCCAUGUGAAACUCCUUCGACGAGUCGAGUUGUUUGGGAAUGCAGCUCAAAAUGGGAGGUGUAUUUCUUCUAAAGCUAAAUAUUGGCCAGAGACCGAUAGCGCACAAGUAGAGUGAUCGAAAGAUGAAAAGCACUUUGGAAAGAGAGUUAAACAGUACGUGAAAUUGUUGAAAGGGAAGCGCUUGCAAUCAGACUUGCACGGCGUCGAUCAGCCCGGGUUCUCCCUGGUGUACUCGGCGCCGUUCAGGCCAGCAUCAGUUUCGGCGGUGGGAUAAAGGCCUAGGGAACGUGAGUUGUCUCGGCAACUGUUAUAGCCCUAGGUGCCAUGCCGCCUGCCGGGACUGAGGACCGCGCUUCGGCUAGGAUGCUGGCGUAAUGGUUGUAAGCGACCCGUCUUGAAACACGGACCAAGGAGUCUAACACUUAUGCGAGUGUUUGGGUGUCAAACCCAUACGCGUAAUGAAAGUGAACGGAGGUGAGAACCCUUAAGGGUGCAUCAUCGACCGAUCCUGAUGUCUUCGGAUGGAUUUGAUUAAGAGCAUAAUUGUUGGGACCCGAAAGGCACGUUUUACCCCCCCCCAUUCAUUAUUAACCUUAAUACUAACUACUUUACAGAUGGUGAACUAUGCCUGAAUAGGGUGAAGCCAGGGGAAACCCUGGUGGAGGCUCGCAGAGGUUCUGACGUGCAAAUCGAUCUUCAAAUUUGGGUAUAGGGGCGAAAGACUAAUCGAACCAUUGUUGGCUACUGGUGGUUGAGAGGUAUGUUACAUACCUAGUUUCCUUGCGGAAGCUAUACUGCAAACUUGCGGGGACGCUCUUACAGUCUACAUUACCGCUGGCCUGACCGAAAGAUCAGGCCGGCACCAGCUACGCGCUGGGUAUGGUCACAAUAUGUAGGAUUUGGGUGAUCCGCAGCCAUGCCCUACGGGGAACCCUCAGCGGUUCGCUACGGGCAGGGUUCAUCGACUAGAUGGCAGUGGGUGUAGGCUUUUGGCCUACGCUUAAGGGAUAGUCAGAUUACGGCGGGAACGUCGUAUC